ACAACUAGAAUCACAACCAUAUCUUAAAAGCCUAAGUAUUGUAUCCUUGUUAGAAGAUACAAAGACAAAGACUCAUAGAGACUUCGCCUACACCAUCAAAGCUUUGAGAAGCAAGAAGAAGCUUGUUAGUG
RNAcentral lists this small RNA (131 nucleotides) under Arabidopsis thaliana (thale cress). RNAcentral's name for it is "ATSL271510". Lineage: Eukaryota; Viridiplantae; Streptophyta; Magnoliopsida; Brassicales; Brassicaceae. The record is from RNAcentral.